RNAcentral lists this small RNA (532 nucleotides) under Pan troglodytes (chimpanzee). Its description in RNAcentral is "processed transcript". The record is from RNAcentral. Lineage: Eukaryota; Metazoa; Chordata; Mammalia; Primates; Hominidae.
AGAAAACCAAAUAUGGCAUCUUCCAUGAGGAGCUUGUUUUCUGACCACGGGAAAUAUGUUGAAUCUUUCCGGAGGUUUCUCAACCAUUCCACGGAACACCAGUGCAUGCAGGAAUUCAUGGACAAGAAGCUGCCAGGCAUAAUAGCAAGGAUUGGAGACACAAAAUCAGAAAUUAAGAUUCUAAGCAUAGGCGGAGGUGCAGGUGAAAUUGAUCUUCAAAUUCUCUCCAAAGUUCAGGCUCAAUACCCAGGAGUUUGUAUCAACAAUGAAGUUGUUGAGCCAAGUGCUGAACAAAUUGCCAAAUACAAAGAGCUUGUAGCCAAGACAUCGAACCUCGAGAACGUAAAGUUUGCUUGGCAUAAGGAGACAUCAUCUGAAUAUCAAAGUAAAAUGUUGGAGAAAAAGGAGCUUCAAAAGUGGGACUUUAUUCAUAUGAUUCAAGUAAAUGAAAAUCUUCUGAUUUCUAAUUUUACAAGUGACCAUGAUCUGCUCAAAUAAAAGAUAAAGAUGUUUAUUAUACUAAGAUUCUCUU